UACGGGGGGUGGUAGCGUUAUUCGGAAUCAUUGGGCGUAAAGGGCGCGUAGACGGUCUUUUAAGUCAGAUGUGAAAGCCCUCGGCUUAACCGAGGAGGUGCAUUUGAUACUAAGAGACUUGAGUAUGGGAGAGGGAAGCGGAAUUCCUGGUGUAGCGGUGAAAUGCGUAGAUAUCAGGAGGAACACCGGUGGCGAAGGCGGCUUCCUGGACCAAUACUGACGCUGAGGCGCGAAGGCGUGGGGAGCAAACAGG
This 253-nucleotide ribosomal RNA is filed under the name uncultured bacterium. Its description in RNAcentral is "partial 16S ribosomal RNA". It matches the Rfam family "Bacterial small subunit ribosomal RNA", at positions 524 to 776 of the family's 1533-position model. The record is from RNAcentral.